UAUAAUUUUUAAAAUGAGGCGUGCAAUGAUUUUUUUGGUGCACAUAAAUUAAAAAUCCAUGUAAAUAAUGCAAGGGCACUAAAGUAAAGCUUUACAAAUAAAGAUAUUAAUAAUAAAGCUAGGACUCCCUCUUUAAUUCACUCUAUUACAUUUAGCUUUUCCAGUAGCUCAUAUAUUGCACCACCACUAUUUUAAUGUCUGAACAAAAAAUUAUAUUCAGCCUUAUUACAAAUGACAACUGUUUCUGUGGGUUUAAGACAGCUUUAUAUGUUGUUUGAACGGAGUUUAUGGAGGUUAAAUGUAAGACAACAGUGAAGCAUAACUUUCCCCAGGAAAUUAACUACCAAAGUCAUCUUUCCUUUUCAAAUUUAAGAAUAGCAAAAUCACAUCAUUAAAAUAUACAGAACCUACUACCCUAUUUACAGAUAAGCCACUGUUAAAAAAAGAAGGCAUACAUCAAACACUUAUCUUUAAUUAACAAUCCAAUUAUUUGAACCUCAAUUUAAAGAUGGUUUCCAAACUAGAUUAAUUAUAGAAAUCAAGUAAUAUUAGGCUUCACAUAUUGAAAUUUAUGUUUUAUUACAGCCUAAAUAAUUAACAUUCAAACAGACCAAUCUUUAUUAAAUUUAUACAUUGAUGCCAUCAGGCCACCACCAAAUGAAUUCUCUCUUCCAAUAAAGUUAUCAGACUAAUACACCACUGAUAACUGAACUAGUCCUACAGUCAAUCUGUUAAAGAUUAGUUGUUUAAAAUAAACUGGCAGAUCAAACACACAAUCUACAUUUUAUCAAAAUUUACCCUACGCUCCACCCCAAAUAUUGUAAUGGAGGGAGGGAUGAUAGGAUAGCUAGCAUAUGUAUGCAGAGUUGUUGUAGCCCUGUUGGUCUCAGAUGUUAGAGACACACACAAGGUGGGUGAGGUCAUAUCUUUUAUUGGACCAACUUCUGUUGGUGAGAAAGCAGCUUUCAAGCUUGAACAGACCUGAAGUUGGUCUAACAAAAGACAUUACCUCACCCUCCUUGUGUCUGGGAUAAUAAUGAUUAACAUAAGUAAACAAUGCGAACAAGCACUGCUCAAAAUAAGAUGUUAAAAUCACAAGCUUGACCAAACCAGCCAGUAAAGUGAUUUUAACAAUCAACAGUUGCUUGAGGUUAAUUUGUAAUCUGUUUUACUCAUGUCUCCAGGCCCUUACCUACUAUCACUUGGGUUUAUAACUUUAAUAUUUCUCAAAAAUAGUGAUGUUGAUCAUAGCUAAAUAGCAAGUGUUUACAGCAAGAAAAAAAAGGGGGCACUAAAACACAUGUAAACAGAGUGAUAUGUAUCAGUGUAUUUUAAAACUGAGCAACCCCUGUGAUCAGGCCUCUCAGAAGUUAAAAAGGGAAUGUAUAGUAUUUGUAUCAUGAUCUACAUUUCACUCCAUCACAGUAAGAUCUGCCUCUAAACUGUAUAUACCUCAAUAGCUAAAUGGCGUUUAUUAAAUGUAAACCUUUCCAAACUUGCUUCUAGUCACAGCUUUACACACUGUGUUUAUUAAACACCCCAGCACCUCCACACCAAAUGUAUUUGAUUAAGUUGGCUUAUUUAUUAAGCACUGCCUACGUACACAACAUUACAAAGCACGGAAGAGAUACUGGGCCUGCCCCCGACAGCUUAGUUGGAACCGGUUCCAGGAGAUGCCCGAGGCCUGCUGCACAGGAGGUGAAAGAUGCUUUGUACCGGAUUCGGCUGGGGUGGGGUAGAGUGGAGGCCCCCCCCGGGCUGCAAGCGUGCGGGGCCCGAGCCCCCCGCCUUAGGUAACUUCCACUUGUGAUGCGGAAACUUUGGAAGGAGCCAAGAGCCAAGUCUCAAGCGGAGACACCGGGGAGCUCGCCGGGCCAAGACACCGUUUCAAAGCCGGGACGGACGCGUGUCAGGGCCGGGUUCCCCUCCGCCAGCCCGGUCUGAAAACGGCGACACAAGACUGCUGCCCAGCCGAGGACCCCCAUACAAUGGAGUUAAUGUCACAUUUUAAAGAAAUACAAACAUGUUAAGGGAUAGACAUGCACAGUAAGGUGGCACAUCCAUGGCUUUAAGAAGCCACGCAAGUCGAUGCCACCAAUUCCCUCCUACACAGGAGCACGGAGCCAGCAGCAGAGGGAAUGGAGAGCUGGUAUUGGAAUCCAGAUAGGGACCACACGUUUUGAAGAAGCUCCAGUUGGGGUGACUCACAAGAAAUACUUCAGGAGGUGGGCUUGGAGUUCAACACUGUUCUUCAGAACCUGUCAUCAUCUCAAGCCUUUUGAGUGACAGCAUAGUGGGAUGCAAAGGUAUGCACCAAUGACCAAGUUGCUGCCCUGCAGAUGUCUUGGAUUGGGACUUGUGCGAGGAAUGCCACUGAAGAAGCUUGAGCUCUUGUGGAGUGAGUGGUUAGGAUGGCUGGAGAUGUAACACUGGCCUGCUCGUCGUAAGCCCGAAUACAUUUGGUUAUCCAGGAUGCCUCUGGGGCUGAUCCUGGAAGCCCUUUCAUCCUUUCUACUACUGCUACAAAGAGUUGCCUAGAUUUGCAGAAGGAUGUAGUCCUCUCAAUAUAGAAGGCUAUGGGCAUGUCUAACAUCCAAUGAGUGAAGCCGCUGAUCCUCAGAGUUCUUCUAAGGCUUUGGGAAGAAGACAGGCAGGAAAACAGCCUGGAUGGUAUGGAACUGUGAAACCACCUUUGGCAGGAAAGCCAGGUGGGGGCACAGUUGGACCUUGUCCUUGAAGAUCAUCGUGUAAGGUGGUUCUGACGUAAGGACUCUGAUUUCAGAGAUCCUUCUGGCUAAGGCAACCUUCCAAGAGAGAAGUAGUAGACAGCACAAUACUCGGUGGUUUGAAAGGAGGGCCUACGAGCCUUGACAGAAUCAGGUUUAAGUCCCAAGGAGGGAUCAAUUUGUGAACCUGAAGGUAAAGUCUCUCCAGUCCCUUGAGAAACCAGAUAGUCAUCUCAUUAGAGAACACUGACCUGCCGUUCAUUGGCAGGAAGAAAGCUGAGAUUGCUGCUAAGUGUAACCAUGAUAGAUGCCAGGGCCAGACUUUGCUGCUUCUGAUGGAUUAAGUAGUCCAAGACAGACUGAGGGGAAGAAUUAACCAGAGACCUUGUUGAGAUCCCCAUAGUAAGAAGCACUUCCAUGUGUCCAAGUAGGUAGCCCCAGGGGAAGGCUUCCUGCUACCUAGUAAGACCUGCUGAACUUCCUCUGAACAGGCCUGCUCCUCCGGCUUCAGCCAAGUAACACCCCUGCAGUUGGGUUAAGGAAUGCAAGGUUUGGGUGGAGUGGAAGCAGAAGACGGGAUGCUAUUGAUAGGUUCAGCAGCAUGCUGAACCAGUGCUGACAUGGCCAUGCUGGAGCUAGAAGAAUAACUCUUGCCUUAUUCUUCUUGAUUUUCAGGAGGACUGUGUUAAAUCAGAGGGAACAGGGGAAAAGCAUAGAUCAGGAGCCCUGUCCAUGGGAGCAAAAAGACAUCAGAGAGGGGGUCUAGCCUGUGCCCAGACAGCAAGCAAAACUGAGAGCACUUCCUGUCCUCUUUGGUCCCUUGGGGAGACUCCAACCUCUGGAAGAUGAACCUGGAGAUCUCCGGGAGAAGAGACCACUUGCGGUGAAAGGAGAAGGAUCUACUGAGGUGAUCUGCCACUGUACUCCAGGCUCCCGAAAGGUCUGAUGGAAUGCUUCAUGCAGAAGUCCCAUAGGCAGAUGGCCUCUGACACAGGGCAGAGGAUCAAGCUCCUCCCUGUUUGUUGAUAAUAGAACAUGACCAUGGUCUGUCAGAACUUGCACCACCUUGCCUAAGAUUUGAGGGAGGAACACCUGACCAGCUAAAUGUACAGCCCUGAGUUUCCUGCUGUUUGUGUGCAGGGAGAGUUCUUCCUGGGACCACAGGCCCUGAGUCCUUAGGCUGGAAAGCCCACCUCCACAAUUUCAGUCUGACGUGUCCGACACUAGGGAACCAAUGGCUCAGGGGCUCUAGAGGGUACCCCCAUCAUCAUUCAUCUUGGGUCUUUCCACCUGACCAGAGUGGCGAGGCCCAGGGGUGGAACAGCGAGCACCAAGCCCAGGUGGUGUCUGUUCAGGGAGUAAACUGAUGCCAGCCACAUCUGUAGAGGCCUUCCAUGCUGAACCACGUAAGUGCAUGCUGCCAUGUGCCCCAGCAGUUUGAAGCAAACUCAGGUUGUUGUAAUUGGGUGGACCAUGACCUUGGAUAUCAGAUUCAACUGUCUGGAAUCAGGCCUCCGGAAGGAAGGCUCUGGUUUGGGUAGAGUGAAGCACUGCCCCAAUAACCUCUAUUCUCUGAACUGGAAUAAAAGUUGACAUUUACUUGUUUAUCAACAGGCCCAGUGCUCGGAAGGUGGCUUAGACUACACUGAUGCUGUUCCAGAUGUGAGCCACUGACCGACCCCUGAUCAGCCAGCCAGUCAACAAUGUAUGGGUAGACCUGGAUGCCUCAUACCUGAGGAAGGCCACUACUAGUGCCAUAUACUUUGUGAAAACCUGUGAGGUUGUAGAUAGGCCAAAGGGGAGAGCGAUGAAGUGGUACUGCCAUUGGUUCACAAGAAAUCUUCUGUGGCCAUGGAAAAUAGAAAUGAGAAAGUAUGCAUCUUUUAAGUUGAGGAUACUGUACCAGUCCCUGGAUCCAGGGAGGUUAUAAUGAAGUCUCAGUGGUUUGAGCAUUGGCCUACUAAACUCAGGGUUGUGAGGUCAAUCCCUGAAAGGGCCACUUAGGUAAUGGGGAUGUCAUAAACAGAUAAGGGUUAA
Long non-coding RNA from Gopherus evgoodei (Goodes thornscrub tortoise), 4763 nucleotides. RefSeq lists it as uncharacterized. Lineage: Eukaryota; Metazoa; Chordata; Testudines; Testudinidae. The transcript has 3 exons. The record is from RefSeq and is a predicted model, not a curated record.